UACAGAGGGGGCAAGCGUUGUUCGGAAUUACUGGGCGUAAAGGGCGCGUAGGCGGCCUUCUAAGUCGAACGUGAAAUCCCCGGGCUCAACCCGGGAACUGCGUCCGAGACUGGAAGGCUUGAAUCCGGGAGAGGGAUGUGGAAUUCCAGGUGUAGCGGUGAAAUGCGUAGAUAUCUGGAGGAACAUCGGUGGCGAAGGCGGCUUCCUGGACCGGUUCUGACACUGAGGAGCGAAAGCGUGGGGAGCGAUCCGG
This 253-nucleotide ribosomal RNA is filed under the name uncultured bacterium. Its description in RNAcentral is "partial 16S ribosomal RNA". It matches the Rfam family "Bacterial small subunit ribosomal RNA", at positions 524 to 776 of the family's 1533-position model. The record is from RNAcentral.